CUAUACUGCAGUCGAGCGAAUGAUGAGGAGCUUGCUCCUCUGAUUUAGCGGCGGACGGGUGAGUAACACGUGGGUAAUCUGCCUGUAAGACGGGGAUAACUCCGGGAAACCGGGGCUAAUACCGGAUAACAAAAGGAAAUGCAUGUUUCCUUUUUGAAAGUCGGUUUCGGCUGACACUUACAGAUGAGCCCGCGGCGCAUUAGCUAGUUGGUGAGGUAACGGCUCACCAAGGCGACGAUGCGUAGCCGACCUGAGAGGGUGAUCGGCCACACUGGGACUGAGACACGGCCCAGACUCCUACGGGAGGCAGCAGUAGGGAAUCUUCGGCAAUGGGCGAAAGCCUGACCGAGCAACGCCGCGUGAGCGAUGAAGGCCUUCGGGUCGUAAAGCUCUGUUGUUAGAGAAGAACAAGUACGAGAGUAACUGCUCGUACCUUGACGGUACCUAACCAGAAAGCCACGGCUAACUACGUGCCAGCAGCCGCGGUAAUACGUAGGUGGCAAGCGUUAUCCGGAAUUAUUGGGCGUAAAGCGCGCGCAGGCGGUCUCUUAAGUCUGAUGUGAAAGCCCACGGCUCAACCGUGGAGGGUCAUUGGAAACUGGGAGACUUGAGUGCAGGAGAGAAAAGUGGAAUUCCACGUGUAGCGGUGAAAUGCGUAGAGAUGUGGAGGAACACCAGUGGCGAAGGCGGCUUUUUGGCCUGUAACUGACGCUGAGGCGCGAAAGCGUGGGGAGCAAACAGGAUUAGAUACCCUGGUAGUCCACGCCGUAAACGAUGAGUGCUAGGUGUUGGGGGGUUCCACCCUCAGUGCUGAAGUUAACACAUUAAGCACUCCGCCUGGGGAGUACGACCGCAAGGUUGAAACUCAAAGGAAUUGACGGGGGCCC
Molecule: ribosomal RNA, 887 nt
Filed under: Fictibacillus sp. A10
Lineage: Bacteria; Bacillati; Bacillota; Bacilli; Caryophanales; Fictibacillaceae
Description: bacterial SSU rRNA
Rfam family: Bacterial small subunit ribosomal RNA
Source: RNAcentral